This is a long non-coding RNA of Bos taurus (domestic cattle), 429 nucleotides long. NCBI's taxonomy places the organism in Eukaryota, Metazoa, Chordata, Mammalia, Artiodactyla, Bovidae. The record is from Ensembl.
GCCUACCGAAAGAAACGUUCUUUACGCUCCAAGUGUGGGAAGGGAAAACGUUAAGGACCUUUGCACUGUGCUGGAAGUGAACGCAUUAUAUUCCCCAACUCCCACCCGCCCCUUACUUCAGUAGAUGCACUAGCAUCGGAGGCCUGACCAGGAAGAAUGAAGGUCGCCUGGAAAUGUGAUACAGCAAGCAAGAUGUAGAAAUAAUGUGUGUCCUGGGGUUGUCUCCCACUGGAGAUCCCAGGACAUUUUCCAGUUGCUCCUGCCACAACGAUCUCUGCCAUCUCAGUGCCUUUGAUGCCCCUCGUGAAUUCAGGAAGCUCUGCAGUGCCAGCAGGGCUUCACAAAACCCAGUUGCUCCCCAAUCCUCUUUCUCUUCCACCUCUCUGUCAUCUUCGAAGAAAUCUCAAAGCUUAUUUAAAAGGUGGGGCG